Non-coding RNA from Meleagris gallopavo (turkey), 10337 nucleotides. The record is from RefSeq and is a predicted model, not a curated record. NCBI's taxonomy places the organism in Eukaryota, Metazoa, Chordata, Aves, Galliformes, Phasianidae.
CCAGCUUCUCUGCAAACCUGGGAAUGGGUGGGAGGUGCGAAGCCUUGUGUGAGAGGCCCUGCUGUUGUUUGGAGGCUGGCUUGAGGCGUGCUGCCCCUUGAAAAGAUGGGGAAGAGGCAGAGCUGUAAGGUAGGCUGUCAGAUGUGUCGUUUGGGGUCACAGGUUGCAGAGUCCAAAACUGUAGGUCUCAGGACCAUAAGAAAGUCACAGACUGUGCAUUUAAGGUCAGGUUUUCUAGGUAUACUCUUCCUCUUGUAGCUCUCUGUGUUGGAUGUUUCAGAAAAGUUCUGCUCUUUAAGUAGCUGACUUGGCCCCACCACCCUAACUCCAACUAUUUGCCUGCCAGUAUUCCCCUUAUAGCAGCUAACCCAGCUGACAGUUAAUGAAUCUAACUCUUGCCAGAGGUGAAAAAGUGCACUGAGGUGUGGUGGACCAGGAAGGCGUGCUGAAUUCUCAGCCAUUAGUGCAGCAAAACGCUGCCUGUGCCAGUGGCUGCGGGGUGAAGGUGGGAGCAGAGUUAGAGCAGUGCCAGGGCUGUGGGUGAGGUUUCCUGCUAGUAGCACUGACAGCAGUUAUUCUGUAUGAGCCUGGGCACAAUCCAGGGCAGUGCUCAGAGCAGCCAGGCACUGCUGCUGGAACACGUGAGCGUUCUGCUCUAUGGAAAACGAUGUGUGAAUGGCAGCUGAGCUGGGCAGCAGAGGCUGAACCUUUUUCUCAGUAGAGAUUACUCAGUGCCGCCCACAUCAUCAGAGCUCACCCACAGCAAUGCUGCUUCUCCUUUUUCAAAGAAAACGUGGGUUGUUUUGCACACGUUGCACGUGGUUAGCAAACCUGGUCGUGGUUUGCAGAGACUGUUUCAGCUGCCCAGCACCUGCAAGCCGCAGAGCUGCUCUGCACCCAACCCUGGGUGGCAUAUCCCACUCGUGCUCUCAGCAGCUCCGUUAUUUCUUUGCGACAACAGAGGGCACCAGCGGCCCUUGCUUAGUACAGGGCUCUGCCCUCCCGGGCUCCCCGGGACAUGCAGGGCGGCUCCUACGCCUUCGGACUCGUGGGAGAAAGCAGCCCUAACACCAUGCACAUCCUGCUCCUCAGGUCUGGGAAGAUGCGUGCAGUGAAGCCGGUGGUUUGUUCCCACUGAGCCUGCGUGGGUGUUUGUGAAAAUGUGCAAGUCUGCAAAGAGCAGAGGUUUGGAUACAGCUGGCAAAGCAUGUUUUAUUCUUCCAGUGGUCAUUCUGCAUCUCCAGUUCAGCGGGGUUCAAUCCGGAUGUCUGCACCCAAGCAGAAGCUACUGAAAUGUCAGGAAUCAGUUAAUCUGCAAUGAAACAGUUUGGAUCUGAGGCGAGGUCUGAAUCUGUGCUGCAUUACAUCAGUUUGGCCUCACUGACAGCUGUAUAGCACGUGAGAGUUGCCUGCAGGGACGACCCUGAGCUAGCUCCAAGCUAUUCCCUGCCAGCUUUCCCACCAGAGCUGGGAGGAGCGCAGUGCAGACUAGCUGUUUGAGCCCGAGAUCCCCAGCAAACCUGUCAGCCCUCAGAGCUGAUAGGCGGUCCAUCUAGAGGUAAUCCCAGCAAAGUGCCCCAGGCUGCCCCAAGGGUGAUCCAGGUGCAUUCUGGUGUAGGCUGCCUGUGGAGAGAUGCAGAGAAGUUCAAGCUGUAUUUGUUAUUCUCCUGAAGCACAGCGAAGCAGCCCCGGCGAGGAGUGAUCCCUGGCUGUGGCAUGUUCCAGCAAACGUGGUGGAAUGUGACAGCAAGGAACGCAUGCUGCCUGAGCCUCCCUGGAGAGAUGGGAGCAACAGUCGUGCUCACUUGGUGUCCUUGCUGCCUGCAGUCACCCUGCACAGGAGGAGCCCAGUGGUCACACUUGUCCCCACAGCUGCAGACAUCACCCAUCAAUGCUGCUCCCAGGUCUCUGGUAAUGGAAGGUUCAGCUCCCUGGGACUGGCGGAGUCACGGCAUCGGGACUGGUAAGUGGAGAAUAACUAGCAUGUUUCUGCCCCCUUAGCUGAUAGGAAACAUCCAAAGCAGCACUGCUAGCUGGAGGUCCUGUGCUCAUUUCAUACAAACCAUCGCUGAGGAGCAGCAUGCUUGGCUUUGCAGUAGGUGUGUUGCACACAACACAGGUAUGCUGUUCCAACAAGGAGGCUGUCAGAUAUGAAAGCUAUCGCAGCCAAAUUCCUUCUUCAGAGUUCCUCAGGAGUAGCAAAAAGUCUGGCAAGGCUGGGGAACAGCUUUGAAACUUGGUAUUUUUCUUCUUCUAAAGAUACCUCUGAUGUUCAGCUAUUUCCCCACACUUAUUCUUUGCCUAGGGUAGAAUAUAACAUACCAAAUGAAAUGUUAAAAACAAAUAAGCAGGAAGUGUAUUCAGCAAAAUCAGCUGUAGUUUAUUUUAUAGGAUGUGUAACAGUAUCUUAUUUUGUGCUUGACACUGCAAAGGCUCCUAAUGUCCAGCUAGCACCUUAGAAAUGUUUUUAAAGAGACAGAUGAGGCAAGAGGCAUUGCAGGCUGCUGCUGUGUCUUCUGCUGGAUGCCCUCAGUGCUUUUCGAACAGGCAGGGAUUGGCAUCCCCUGUUUACACACGGGAAAACAGAAAUAAAAGAGUUUAUGGCUCCUAUUUCCAAAAGCAGUCACUAGCUUUGUGUCUGUCUUUUUGGUGCCAAACUGUGAGAGUUUUUAAAGUUCUGGCAUGUGUGCAGAACAAAGACCAACUGUUCGCUGGUUUAACUGGUUUGACUUGUACACUGCUCUGCUGAAAAGGUGCCUUAGUGUGAAGUUUGCGUAGCACAGUGGAGAAGCAGAUGUUCCCUUCAUCCCUGUUGCCCAUCAGGGCUGGAUUUUAGAAGUGCCCCAGUCGAAGCCAACAGUGUUUGCACUGUCCAGCACUGCUGAGAGCUGGGCCAGGUGUUAGAUCAAAUGUCUGGAGCUGAGAGUGUAACAUUUUUUCAGAUGUGCUUCUCAGUGAUUUUUUUCCAGACAGAUGCGGGAAGUCUGUGGUAGAGCUGGGAACAGAGCCUGUUCCUGUGCUGCAGGAGGCUGUGUGUCUGACAAGACACAGGCAUAGCCCUGCAAAGUAAAUGUGAUUUCAUGGUGGGAGCUGCACGGCACCUGGCAGUUGCACCAGGGGAUUUUUCCUGGUUCCCAGGUUCAUAGGGGUUUGCACCAUGGCUAAAAUCUCAAAACCUCUGAAAUUCAGCAGGGAGAAGGUUGGUGCUUCAUUAUGGGCCUAUUGUCACAGUGCAUCUUUCAAGAGAGUACUUGUAUGUUUGUGUGUGGUGUGGGCUGGGUGGGCAGCUCCCUGCUGCUCUGUCUUUUCCUUAUUGGAUGUGUGCGCUUGCACAGCACAGGUUUUCUGUCCUGCAGCUCUUAUGAGUUCACAUUCAAAGAUUACUUUCUCAAGACGUUCUUUUUGUUAAAAUGUGCUGUUUCCAUAGUUGCACCUGUUCUCAAGGAUACCACCCAAGGGUAAGCUCUUAGAGGGCGCAAAGCCAGCAUCGCAAGUGCAGUUUCCAUGGGAAAUGCAGGCAGGUAUAUCUUUACCUGCAGCUCAGAGUAUCUGCUCCCUUCUCCUCUUCUGCAGUGUGCCAAGGAACAACCAGUUCCUGCAGCAGACAAGGGCUGUGGUCUCCAGAGCAGUGAGACUGCAGCUGAGCUCCCUACAAAGAGGAUUUAAAACCACAUCUCAAACCCCCCUCUGCCAGAACAGGUCAGAAGUUCCAGAUUUUCUUGUAUAACAGUCAGGCUUAAUUUUCUCUUCACUUGUUUUUAAAAAUGCUUAUAUUGUGCUGCCAUUAGGUAAAGAGUGGAAUUUUGGACUUAAAAGCAGGUUUUAUACUCUUUAUUUAGUGGAAGACCUGGAGCUUUUUUGUUGAAAAUACAUCCAUGGAAAGAGUUCACUGAAGAACGUUCUGCUUAGAAGUAUUUCAGCCAUCUGCCAUAGGAAGGAGUUGAAAACCUCUCAGGCCUUUCCUGCUGUGAACACGCAGGAUUUUCUCUAGCCAAAGGCUGAAUCUUUCACCUGUGGAUGAAGGCUCCAUUUUUUGAUCGAUGUCACUGUCACUGAAACAUGUAAAUGCAAAGGAGUUUGGAUGAAACCCUAACCGAUAUGCGGCAGGGAGCAAUCGUGGGCUGGCAACAGGAUGGAAUCACUGACCUAAUCAACCAUUUCCCCCUCUAAUUGCAGUGAUUCUAUGGUUUAAAGAAUUACACAAUGUGUAUUUUAGUUGGAAUAAGACACUAUUAUUGAGUAAAGUGCAUAAUAAUUGUGUUUCGGGAGGUGAAAUAAAUGUCGAUCAGUAGGCACUUUAAUCCAUCAUUGUACUUUGCUAAAUUACUUAAAUUGCACUACAUUCAAUACUAAAAUUACUUGUAAUAAAGUGAUUGCCGAACUGACACUCACAAAAAGAUGUCUAGCACCUACAUUUGUUUUCCUAAUUGACAAUUUUAGGCUUCAGUCGAGGGAGGGAGGAGAGCCCACAGCCUGCACUUCAGUUGAUAGGAAUGGAGGGCACGUAGACCCGUGCAGAAGCAGUCUUUUAGCAGUGAAGAAUCCUGCCUGCAUGAAGUAAUUCCAACUGCUGUUAGCUUUCAAGCCUUGCUUUGGUCACUGGGUAGGUCCAUUUUGCCUGCAUUUCCAGAAACAUUAGAUUUUGGCACAAGGCUUCCUUGUAGUGAUACUCCGCUUGUUUAUAUUGCUCUGCAACUUCUUCCCAAGCCAUUCACUAAUUAAUAUCCAAUUUAUAGACUGAGAUGGGUGAUUUGGUUGAGAAUCUAUAACAUGAUCCUUAACCAAAUGAUCCAAACUUGCUCCUGAGUGGGGAGAAAGAUGCAUUCCUCCUGCUCAAUCUCCAGAGGCACUUUGGAGGCGACUGUGACUUUUGUUGAUUCUUCUUCCUACAGUCCUUCCGCUCUGCAGGAUUUUAGUUGAUAAAAGGUAAACAUAAAAGGAAUCUUGGUUUUAGUUCCUAAUAUGACAUUUAGAUUCAGCCUACCUAGGGCUGUUUUUUUAAUUCAUGUAUUACUCCAAAGAUGUUAACAAGCUGUAUAAUUAACUGAUGCUGAGCUAAAGUAGGUUUUGGUUUUUUUAAACUUUAGCUAAUGUCUGUGGUUACGUGCUUGGGAGAAAACACAGAUUGUUUUUUUCUACAGACAAAGCAAUACCCUUCUGCAAAGGUAUGUAACUCCUUUCUCAUGAGAUUGAAUGAGAAGCUGAGGAUAUACCUGUUCUGUACAAGGAAAAACAUUUUAUGGUAAUGAAUUUAAUGGAAAUGAAAAUUCAGUUAUAGCUUACAAUAAUUUUAUUGCUGACCCUUACCUUUGGAAAACUGCUUUGCUUUCUGAAGACCAAAGUCUUUUUUCUUUCUCAUGGCUUUUCUCAGGCUUGGUUGGAACAGAUCUUCAAGAAAUGUAAUUGAAACAUGUUAGAACUUCUUUUUGGAGGAGAAACAUGCACUACAUCCAAGAACACUGGAUUUCAACCCUCUCUUGAUGUUUCGAUGGCCUCAGUUAGUGGGAUGAAGCCUUUCUUCAUGGCAGAAUGACACACGACAGAUUUGCAUCUUUAAAGAUCCUUCCUGAUUUUGCAUAUAAACAAAACCUGACUUAAACGGUUCAUCUGGUGAUUGUGAAGGGUUUACAUUGAUGGAUCAGGUCUCCACCACCAACCUCAAAGGGAAUUCUGCUGUGGGCUGCUAGAACACAGAUCAGGGAAGUGAUGCUGUUUCUAAGAGACGAGCUGCAGCACAAAGGACCCAGCCAGCCUGACUCCAUCCUGUCCAGGACAGCCAGGUUUUGACCGCCAGUGUUCUGUGGCCCUGUGGAUUUGCAGCUCAUAUAUACAGCUCUGAAAAUGCAUGCACGUCUCCUAUGGACCAUACAGCACCAGAUUGGUUGCAUGGAGGGUGAUAGUACUGACAGUGCAGAAGAGGUCUGUCCUGCAUCUUAAGACACCGCCUGUGAUACCUCAGCAGAGCUCUCCUCUCACUUCCAUGACCUGUUUGUCUCCAAAUUGCCAAGGGAGAGAAAGGCAGCAGACAGCCAGAUGAGUCUGGCUGGUCUCCAAUGCCUGUCAGUAUCGGUCCAUGGAUAGUCUUCCAUGGAGAUGUUUGAUGUUUGUCCUUGUAUUCUUUUCACACUGGGCUUCUCUGUCUGGUUGGCCACAUUUCUUCUUGAAGUGGGCUCUUUCUGCCCUGCCUUUGCCAGUGUGCUUUGUUGAGUAAAUGGAAGAAAUUGUGAUGAGGGCUUGCUGACCCCAGCCUUGAGCUAUAUGGGAAGGCCCCUUAGGAAAAGUUUUUUUGUGUGAUAUUUUCAGCUUAAGUUUCCAAUUCCAAAGGCCUGGAAAAGACUGGUUGGCAGCCAAGCUUUGAGUGUGUAUUAAUCUGCCUGUAUCCUCCCUGUAGGUUUGCCUGUCCAUGAAACAAACCACAAGGGCAUUGUUAAUGAUGCUGCAGAGAUAAGAGAAGUUCUCAACCCAGAGGGAGAUGCCAGGAGCCUUGAAACAGUUUGGAUCCUUGUCUAAACCGUGAGAGAAGCCUGUUUUUCUAAAGCAGAUGUGGCUGUGUCUUGAAAUCCAACGACCAGAAAAAUACUUGCAUUCUAUUUAAUCUCUAAGGUAUCACGGAUUCAGAAAAAUACUUAGAGGUCUUCCAAGAAAGCAUUUGUAGAUUUGAGUGUGCAAGCCUGUAAAAGUGUUUAGUUGUCUAGCAAUGGUAGCAUAUGCAGAUAAAGCAUCUUUAUCUGCUUUAAUAGUUGUUAUUCCUCCACUGAAGCUGGAAGAAAAGGGAAUGAGUGCUGUGAUCCUAUAAUCUGUUCAAAUAAGUUCCUGAUGACACAAAGGCUCUGGGGUAACAUCCUGCACUCUGCAGCAGGUGUUAAGUGCAGAGCUACUGAUGGUAAAAUGCUUUUGAUGCUGCUUAUUGUGGAGGCAGAACCCAACCCAAAACAUCCUCCUUUCUUGAGUUGGGUUUGUUUUAGCUCUUGGUGAUUUCUUAGGUAGCUAGUUAAUUUUUUAAGUUCUGCUGUGACCCUGCAGCAGCAUCAGAGAGAAUUACAUCUGCAGCAAACAAGUCAUUUUGGCCUUUCAGAGAGGUUAAUGACACUUUGAGAUCCCUCAGUUGUAUUUUUCUCAGAUAAUCGGACCAGGUAUUUCUUUCUUUCUUUAUUUUAAUUAAAAAUACAGAUCUACAUGCUCACCAGGAAGUUCGCUCACUCAGAUGCUUAACAGCACUUUGCAAUUGGCUGAAAUAUCUCUUUUCUCUUCUGGAAAACAGCAGUAGAGACAUUGAUCAGAAACUCAGACUAACUUUGGGGGUCUGAGUGCCAGCAGUGCCAGCUCACAGGUACCCCCUGUUACGCAUGCUAAAGUUGUCCUUUAUUGGCUAGCGCUUCUUACCUACCCACUGAUGUGUGUGAGGAAGAGAGCUGACUCAUUCUGAUGCUGCUGACGAGACACCCACCUUGGCUUCUGGUCCUGCUCCUGUUCCUACCAGUUGCUCUUGGUGUUGUUGGUGACCUUGCUGUUGUGCAUCCCCAGAAUGGGAGGAGGAGGAGAACCUUUGUAAAAAAAGCUGGGUAACUGAAAUGGCUCUGUACAGCACUGCUCAGCAACAACUAGAAACAUAGGUGUGUUUUCAAUAUUUUUUUUCUCCUAAUGCCUAAACAUAGCAUUAUGCCAGACACUAGGAAAGAAAAAUUGGCUCUAUCCUCCUUCAAAAAACAGGAAACCUUGGAACACGUAUUUUGGAAAAUGCUCUCUAAGGCAUCACCCACUGUGUCCUUUGCUACCCUUCCUGCUUCCCUGGGGCCCAGUCUCCCUUGCCCCUUUCUUGGUAGUAGGACUGUCCAUCUUUUGGAGGUACACUUCCACUUUGGAGCCCAUUGCAUCCUCCGUCAGGCCAAGGUAGUCCAGGACCCUCAGCCCUUUCAACUUGCACAAAGUGUUCAGCAGAGUCUUCAGGGACUGCACUGGGAGUUCACUUGCAUACUGACUUAGUUUCUCCUUUGGGAUAGACUUCAGGACUGGGUGGACAGCCAGCAGAAUUUUGUCCAGGUUAACAGUGCUGAUGGUGCCUGGGAGAAGACGUGGUCCUUGGAGCAGCUUGAGCAAGGUACAGAAGAUGCUUGUCUUGUCAGAUUUUAUCAGGACCCUUCUCAUGAGGGUGUUGAUGGACUGUGUGAGUUUUUCAUCUUUCUCUUGGUCCUGCUCUAGGCAGUCCUCCUUACCUUCUGCCUGAAGGUAAGAAUGCUGUGCAUGACAUCCUUCAGUAUAUCCAUCAAGGCCUGCUAAGCCAGUUUUAUCUCGAAGAGAAGCAUCCAGGUCUGGAUGACACAGUUGUGUCGCAGGAUGAUUUCAUCCUUCCACCUUUUCUCAUCUCUUUGCUUUUGCUGUUGGAUAAGCUUGAGAGGUUGUAAGCUGGGUACAAGGAACUCAUUUAUUGUGUCCAGGCAUGGCUUCUGCCUUGUGCUUCUGUCUCAGCAUCUUCUCCAUACCUGAAUGCUGGUAUCAGGAUCACUACUGCUAAUACAACAAAUGAGGGAAUUAAUUGUGGAUUUCAUGCCACCAUCUUUCGAGUAGACUUCAUCUGUGUUUUUGGCUUGGCAUCACCCUUGUCUUGCACCCCUUGUUCUCUGAGGGGCUCCUUGGAAGUCUGCUCCUCUUCUCUGCUGGUUUUGGGUGCUGGCUCUUUAGCCAACACUUAUGAAGACAUCUGCUUUCUGUUGCAGGUGCUGUGGUUGCAGUGGGAAAGGGUGUACUGUUGACUACAGAAUGUCUGGAAUGUAGGUCAGCAGAGGCUGGAUGGGUCUGACAGUCUGGCAUUGGCCUUCUUCAGUUCGUGGCCCUUUGCAGCACCCUUCAGCUCACUGGUGGCUUCUGCCAUCUCCUGAAAGCCAGGGAGCUUAGGAAGGAAGGCUGAGCUGCCUGUGAGGCUAUUCACACAGCCUCAUUGCUAUCCUGCAGGCAGGAGCAGAGGUGAGGCACACACGGAAACAGAUCUGAGAGAGUUCAGUGAAGUUUAUGGCUUAUGUCCUCCUGGGACCCUUUGGGUCCUCCUGGGUCCUGUCACUGGGGCUUGACUUGGGGCUGGCACAGCUGGGGACUGGUGGGAUCUGCUUGUGCACCUCCUUCAGCUCAGCCUCUAUCAGAGGACUAAGGGGCAGCCUUUCACUCUCCAUCAGUGCUCUGAGUGAGUCUCCCAUGUACAGGUAAAUAACUCUCAGCAAAGUGACGGCCAGGAGCCAUCUUCAGGGUAUUUACCAGUGUCUUGGUGUCCAUUUCAGCAAAGCCAAACUCCAAUGGCCUUUGAUAGUCCAAGAUCUUGGUUUGGAUGCUGGAAUUCUAAGGAGAAAAGACCAGUAACAUGGCUGUCUUUGCAAUCCAUGCCAAUGAACACAAUUCUGCUAUAGUUGUAAGGGCUUCUUGAGCACUCUUGCUGCAUAGCACAUCUCCUACCAUUUCCACAAUGUUGCUGAUGACGAUUUGUGCAGUUGUUCGGGAGAAGUCCCCUUUUUGAGCUAAGAGGGUGAUGGUGUCAAGCUUCAUCUUGCCUGGGUAAGAAGCAUAAAAUCAUAAAGUUUAUAAAAGACCACGAAGGUCUCCUGAUCAACGCACAGCCAACCCACAGCUUGGCCCAGCCAGUCCUGCAGCCAACCCUGUGCCAUCAUGGCAGCACCUCUGCCCUGCCAGGUGGCCCAGUGCGUCACACACCAUCACUCACAACAACCACACAUCGAUGUGCAAUGGGCACUGUCUGGGUUGAAACCAGGGCAUGGGGAGGGCACAGUGCAGUGCUAACUCAAGUGAUGGCAAGUAGUUGUAUGCAUUUGGAUACUUUGGCGAAACACAGUUCUGGGAACGGCGAAAAAUAUGCACCUUGCUUUCUGUUUUGAUAGAGGAAUGUGAGAACGGGGUUUCAAGAUUUUGGUAUAUUUUCUAUUCCAUUUUCAGUCAACAUAAAUGCAUUCAUCUUCAAAUUUUCAAAUUGAAUGUGUAGAAUUGCAAUCAGAUAUUCAACUCAGAAAUGUGACUGUAUCUCUUUACCAAACUUUCAUAACACCUCUCUCACCAGAGAAAGAUAUCCCGUGUUUCACAGUCGCGCCUCAUUCAUGUCACUGCUUUUUUGGCAGUACGUGCAUUUGUGAGCAACUGUUGUCAGAGAUGAAGCACAGGAGUAAAAUUUCAUCAGGAAUCUCUGAUGAAAACCUUGAGAACUCACUAAGAGCUGCUGCCACCACCGCCAAACUGGACUGAUGCAUCAGUUUCACAGAAACAAGGUCAAACAUCCCAAUAAUUCUACGUUUUUGUUGCUCUAUUUUGUGUAUGUUUUAAUAAAAAACAUUAAAAAAUAA